RNAcentral lists this ribosomal RNA (435 nucleotides) under uncultured bacterium. Its description in RNAcentral is "partial 16S ribosomal RNA". It matches the Rfam family "Bacterial small subunit ribosomal RNA", at positions 28 to 507 of the family's 1533-position model. The record is from RNAcentral.
GAUGAACGCUGGCGGUAUGCUUAACACAUGCAAGUCGAACGGACUCCUCGGAGUUAGUGGCGGACGGGUGAGUAACGCGUGAGAAUCUGGCUUUGGGUUCGGGACAACCACUGGAAACGGUGGCUAAUACCGGAUGUGCCGAGAGGUAAAAGAGAAAUUGCCUGAAGAUGAGCUCGCGUCUGAUUAGCUAGUUGGUGAGGUAAAGGCUCACCAAGGAAGCGAUCAGUAGCUGGUCUGAGAGGACGACCAGCCACACUGGGACUGAGACACGGCCCAGACACAUACGGGAGGCAGCAGUGGAGAAUGUUCCGCAAUGGGCGAAAGCCUGACGGAGCAAUACCGCGUGAGGGAAGAAGGCUCUUGGGUUGUAAACCUCUUCUCUUAGGGAAGAACAAAAUGACGGUACCUAAAGAAUCAGCAUCGGCUAACUCCGUG